UAUGCCAGUAACUCGUUCUACUAAUCAAAGUUAAGUGCAAUUAGAUCUCAAAAUAGAAAAAACUUUGCGCAGGUUACGAAAGGAAGCUUGCCGCAACACCAUAGCUAUUGCACAACAACAAAUACUUAAGGAGCUUGCUACUCCUAACAUGGAAAAUCAGCUACUGUGCAUAAACAUUAAUAAUAGUGUAAACUUUGAGCUCAAAUUUGGUUUUAUACAUUUGUUACCAACAUUUAAUGGUUUUGCAGGAGAAGAUCCUCAUACUCAUCUUAAGGAGUUCCAUAUGGUUUGUGUUGGCAUGAAACCGAAUGGAGUUGACGAAGAACAGGUUAAGUUGAAAGCUUUCCCUUUCUCUUUAAAAAAGGCAGCAAAGACAUUAUUUUUCUCUAUUCUCUCAUGUUCUAUUGAAACUUGGAAUGCCAUGAAGAAGAUUUUUCUUGAAAAGUAUUUUCUAGUAUCUCGAGUUGCCAACAUAAGGAAAGAAAUAUGUGGGAUUCGACAAUUUCAUAGAGAGACACUCUCUGAAUAUUGGAAAAGAUUUGAGCAACUCUGCAUUCAAUGUCCUCAUCAUCAAAUACUCGAUCAACUACUCAUUCAAUAUUUCUAUGAAGGAUUGAUGCCUACUAACCGUAAUAUCAUUGAUGCUGCAAGUCCUGAGGCUGCACGCCAAUUGAUCUCAAACAUGGAAGCCAACUCAAAACAGUUUGACACUCAUGAAGACUUCUCAAACAAACAAGUAAAUGAGGUAAGUAUUUCUAACCCUGAAAAUAAAGUUAAUGAUCUUACUUCUCUUGUGUGUUUUUUGGCUUGUGGAAAUGUACAGCAGGUGAAAGUUUGUAGUGAAAGUUUGUAGCAUAUGUUCCUUACAAGAACAUACCUCAGAUGUAUGCUCAACAAUGCAAGAAGAUUACAUUGAACAGGUUCAUAUAGUUGAUGGAGGAUUUAACGGACAAUUCUAGCAUAAAUAUGAUCCCUUUUCCAACAUGUACAAUCCUGGAAGGAGAGAUCAUCCAAACUUAUGUUAUGGGAACCCACCUUAACAAGACAAUUAAAGCCGACAAUUCCAUCCCCAUGGAUUUCAGCCCCAAUAGAAUUAUCAAGCGAGACAACCCCUUCUAUUCACAAACUCCAAUGUAUGGGGUCGUCAUCCAAUGAUGAUCUUCGUGAGAUGAUGAAAACUUUGGCCUCUAACACUGUGACCUUACAACAAAAUGUCAUGACUUUUCAACAAGAAACAAGGUCAAAUAUUCAUAACUUGGAGAAGAAAAUGGGGUAAGUAGCUUCAAGUGUGGGAAAAUUGGAAGCACAAAUGAAUGGAAAAUUACCCUUCCAAGCAUUGAAUCUAACAGAGAAUGUUAGUUCAAUCAUGCUGUGAAGUGGGAAAGAAUUGGAAGAGAAAAGGUCAAAACAAAUUAAGAUGGAGGAAGAAGAAGAGAUAGAAAUAGAAUUGAGUACAAAGAAGGAAUAUCCUCCUUCUCUACAAGCUGAAACAUCAACCAACACUCCAAAGGAGUUGUGUACUACCAAGAGAGCUUUCAAACUGAAAGGUUAUGAAAUGAUAAGUAUAGGUGAAGUUGUAUCUACUAUUAUUCAAAAGAAUAUGCCUUUGAAGUAAAAAGACUCAGGUGCGUUUGCUAUCCUUUGUGUUAUUGGUAAUGCUAGUUUCAAAAGGGCCUUGUGCAAUUUAGGUGCAUCCAAUACUGUU
Molecule: RNA transcript, 1705 nt
Organism: Populus euphratica (Euphrates poplar)
Lineage: Eukaryota; Viridiplantae; Streptophyta; Magnoliopsida; Malpighiales; Salicaceae
Exons: 2
Source: RefSeq, a predicted model, not a curated record